AAUGCCAUGGUACUGGCUGGUGCCAGGGGGAGGCGUGAGCUCAGGGCGGCUGUUGUCGCCGACGACCGUGUUGACUCCGCCAGCCUGGAGGCCCUGGAGGCAGGGACCAUUGAAGAGGCCACUGACCUGGGGCGUCACCAUGGACUGGGGGUCGAAGAAGGAGGGGAUCGG
Molecule: non-coding RNA, 171 nt
Filed under: Pelagodinium bei
Lineage: Eukaryota; Dinophyceae; Suessiales; Suessiaceae
Source: RNAcentral